This 303-nucleotide ribosomal RNA is filed under the name Triticum aestivum (bread wheat). Its description in RNAcentral is "partial small subunit ribosomal RNA". Lineage: Eukaryota; Viridiplantae; Streptophyta; Magnoliopsida; Poales; Poaceae. The record is from RNAcentral.
AUGUGCAUGAUGAUCUCUUGCUUUUGCACAUAUUGUUUGCGAGAGGGAAUCAUAAACAUGAAGGUACAUCUCACAUCGCUUUCUACUCUAAUGCAUAUGACCAAGACACAUGUAACUCAUUAUUUACUAUGUCAUGUUGUGCAUUCAGAUGUCGUUCAAAUUCUAUCAUUACAUGAGUGCACACAUGUAGAGGGAGCUCAUGCAAGUUACAUGUUCCUCCAAAGAUUUACUUACUACUCUUCACAUUAUCUACUUGAAGCUUUGAUGUAUGUUGUCAUCAAUUACCAAAAAGGGGGAGAUUGA